RNAcentral lists this non-coding RNA (121 nucleotides) under Phascolarctobacterium sp. CAG:266. Lineage: Bacteria; Bacillati; Bacillota; Negativicutes; Acidaminococcales; Acidaminococcaceae. RNAcentral also lists the same sequence under 1 other name. The record is from RNAcentral.
UUGAAUAAACUGGUUAAAGGUGCCUUGUGGCUUAAAAUGGAAACCUGGUGCAAAACCGGUACGGUCCCGCCGCUGUAAGCAGCUUUGCAAGUCAGCAGCCUGCCUUUAAUGCUUUCCGGUG